Molecule: ribosomal RNA, 488 nt
Filed under: uncultured bacterium
Lineage: Bacteria
Description: partial 16S ribosomal RNA
Rfam family: Bacterial small subunit ribosomal RNA
Source: RNAcentral
GACGAACGCUGGCGGCGUGCUUAACACAUGCAAGUCGAACGGAAAGGCCCUGCUUUUGUGGGGUGCUCGAGUGGCGAACGGGUGAGUAACACGUGAGUAACCUGCCCUUGACUUUGGGAUAACUUCAGGAAACUGGGGCUAAUACCGGAUAGGAGCUCCUGCUGCAUGGUGGGGGUUGGAAAGUUUCGGCGGUUGGGGAUGGACUCGCUGCUUAUCAGCUUGUUGGUGGGGUAGUGGCUUACCAAGGCGUUGACGGGUAGCCGGCCUGAGAGGGUGACCGGCCACACUGGAACUGAGACACGAUCCAGACUCCUACGGGAGGCAGGGGUGUGGAAUAUGGGACAAUGGGCGCAAGCCUGGUCCAGCCAUACCGCGUUGAUAACGGAGGCCUUCGGGUUGUAAAGCCCUUUUGUUGGAAAAAAAAAGCAACAGGUUAAUACCCCGCUGUUCUGACGGUACCCAAAGAAUAAGCACCGACUAACUUCGUG